UCUGGUGACAAUGGCAAGGAGGUCACACCUGUUCCCAUGCCGAACACAGAAGUUAAGCUCCUUAGCGCCGAUGGUAGUCGGGCUUACGUC
RNAcentral lists this ribosomal RNA (90 nucleotides) under Escherichia coli. The record is from RNAcentral. Lineage: Bacteria; Pseudomonadati; Pseudomonadota; Gammaproteobacteria; Enterobacterales; Enterobacteriaceae.